AUUGAACGCUGGCGGCAUGCCUUACACAUGCAAGUCGAACGGUAACAGGUCUUCGGAUGCUGACGAGUGGCGAACGGGUGAGUAAUACAUCGGAACGUGCCUAGUAGUGGGGGAUAACUACUCGAAAGAGUGGCUAAUACCGCAUGAGAUCUACGGAUGAAAGCAGGGGAUCGCAAGACCUUGUGCUACUAGAGCGGCCGAUGGCAGGUUAGGUAGUUGGUGGGAUAAAAGCUUACCAAGCCGGCGAUCUGUAGCUGGUCUGAGAGGACGAUCAGCCACACGGGGAGCGAGACACGGCCCAGAGUCCUACGGGAGGCAGCAGUGGGGAAUUUUGGACAAUGGGCGAAAGCCUGAUCCAGCAAUGCCGCGUGCAGGAUGAAGGCCUUCGGGUUGUAAACUGCUUUUGUACGGAACGAAAAGCCCCGGGUUAAUACCCUGGGGUCAUGACGGUACCGUAAGAAUAAGCACCGGCUAACUACGUGCCAGCCGCCGCAGUAA
RNAcentral lists this ribosomal RNA (498 nucleotides) under uncultured bacterium. Its description in RNAcentral is "partial 16S ribosomal RNA". It matches the Rfam family "Bacterial small subunit ribosomal RNA", at positions 30 to 523 of the family's 1533-position model. The record is from RNAcentral.